UUUCAGCAGCGUAUCGCUGAAGUUAGCGGCAGACGGGUGAGUAAUACUUGGGCAAUCUGCCCUUGAGAGGGAAACAACCUGCCGAAAGGUGGGCUAAUGUCCCGUAAGACCACAAGAUGGCAUCAUCUAGGGGUCAAAGCUCCGCAAGGGGCGCUCGAGGAGGAGCCUAAGUUCUAUCAUGGUAGUUGGCGGGGUAACGGCCCACCAAGCCUUUGACGGAUAGCCGGCCUGAAAGGGUGAUCGGCCACACUGGCACUGAGACACGGGCCAGACUCCUACGGGAGGCAGCAGUGGGGAAUUUUGGACAAUGGGGGAAACCCUGAUCCAGCGACGCCGCGUGAAGGACGAAGGUCUUCGGAUUGUAAACUUCUUUUACAGGGGAUGAAUGCCUUGGUGAAUAGCCAAGGGUGACAGUACUCUGUGAAUAAGCCACGGCUAACUACGUGCCAGCAGCCGCGGUAAUACGUAGGUGGCAAGCGUUACUCGGAAUCACUAGGCGUAAAGCGCAGGUAGGCGGUUGAAUAAGUCUAUUGUGAAAGCUCCCGGCUUAACUGGGAGAGGCCAAUGGAAACUAUUCGGCUAGAGUUUGGUAGGGGGUACUGGAAUUCCCGGUGUAGCGGUGAAAUGCGUAGAUAUCGGGAGGAACACCUAUGGCGAAAGCAGGUACCUGGGCCAUAACUGACGCUGAGCUGCGAAAGCUAGGGGAGCAAACAGGAUUAGAUACCCUGGUAGUCCUAGCCCUAAACGAUGUUCAUUAGAUGUGAGAGGUAUCGA
Molecule: ribosomal RNA, 774 nt
Filed under: uncultured Bacillota bacterium
Lineage: Bacteria; Bacillati; Bacillota
Description: bacterial SSU rRNA
Rfam family: Bacterial small subunit ribosomal RNA
Source: RNAcentral